GCAGAACGUGAUAUUUUAUACCAUUGAAUAUUGAAGCCAUAGUCAUGAAGAUCGAUUACUUGAUUGGUGUUCCGUUAACGUAGCCGCAAAACAAAAACUCGAGAGCUACUUUUGAAUAUUUCUACAAUUUUAAGUAGUUUUCAACUCACAAACACAAUAAUAUUUUCAACAUUUAUUAAAAUAAUUUUUUUUUACAUUUUU
Molecule: long non-coding RNA, 201 nt
Filed under: Mytilus galloprovincialis (Mediterranean mussel)
Lineage: Eukaryota; Metazoa; Mollusca; Bivalvia; Mytilida; Mytilidae
Source: RNAcentral